GUAUUCCAUACGGAAUACAUAUACUAAAUUUUGAACGAUACCGAGAAAAUUAGAAUGGCUCUGCGCAGGUAUGACACGCAAAAUCGUGAAGCGUUCCACAUUUUU
This 105-nucleotide small nuclear RNA is filed under the name Daphnia magna. Lineage: Eukaryota; Metazoa; Arthropoda; Branchiopoda; Diplostraca; Daphniidae. The record is from RNAcentral.